ACCUGAGAAUAUCCCUACUUGCUACGAAUACCCCGCCAAACAUGCUAGAUGAUUUACAAGGAAAGCACAGAACAUCACAAGAGCAACAUGUGGGGAGGGUGAGGUGGUUGCUGGAGGGGUGGAGGGCUGUUGGGACAGUUGGGGGGUUGGAGUUGGAUAGGGUGGUGGCGGUUAUUGGAGACAUGCAGCUUCCGCGGUUCGGGAGGGGCCUGCUGCGGAGGGGCCCGGCGUGUGCCGCCUCUCCUCAGGUCGGGCAGUGGUGUGCCGGUGGUGGAGGAUUUGCUCAGGGGUGUGCGGGAGGGUGACGGCGCCGGGCGCGGGUGCGGGUGGCGCUGGGUGGGGUGGUCCACGAGGCGGAGGCGGCCUGGGGGGCCAAAUGGUGCUGCCGUCUGUGAGACUGGCCUCAUUGGGGGAGCCACGAUCUGGGCACAUCG
Molecule: long non-coding RNA, 434 nt
Filed under: Androctonus crassicauda
Lineage: Eukaryota; Metazoa; Arthropoda; Arachnida; Scorpiones; Buthidae
Source: RNAcentral